RNAcentral lists this ribosomal RNA (2929 nucleotides) under Escherichia coli. RNAcentral's name for it is "23S ribosomal RNA". It matches the Rfam family "Bacterial large subunit ribosomal RNA". Lineage: Bacteria; Pseudomonadati; Pseudomonadota; Gammaproteobacteria; Enterobacterales; Enterobacteriaceae. The record is from RNAcentral.
GGGUUGUGAGGUUAAGCGACUAAGCGUACACGGUGGAUGCCCUGGCAGUCAGAGGCGAUGAAGGACGUGCUAAUCUGCGAUAAGCGUCGGUAAGGUGAUAUGAACCGUUAUAACCGGCGAUUUCCGAAUGGGGAAACCCAGUGUGUUUCGACACACUAUCAUUAACUGAAUCCAUAGGUUAAUGAGGCGAACCGGGGGAACUGAAACAUCUAAGUACCCCGAGGAAAAGAAAUCAACCGAGAUUCCCCCAGUAGCGGCGAGCGAACGGGGAGCAGCCCAGAGCCUGAAUCAGUGUGUGUGUUAGUGGAAGCGUCUGGAAAGGCGCGCGAUACAGGGUGACAGCCCCGUACACAAAAAUGCACAUGCUGUGAGCUCGAUGAGUAGGGCGGGACACGUGGUAUCCUGUCUGAAUAUGGGGGGACCAUCCUCCAAGGCUAAAUACUCCUGACUGACCGAUAGUGAACCAGUACCGUGAGGGAAAGGCGAAAAGAACCCCGGCGAGGGGAGUGAAAAAGAACCUGAAACCGUGUACGUACAAGCAGUGGGAGCACGCUUCGGCGUGUGACUGCGUACCUUUUGUAUAAUGGGUCAGCGACUUAUAUUCUGUAGCAAGGUUAACCGAAUAGGGGAGCCGAAGGGAAACCGAGUCUUAACUGGGCGUUAAGUUGCAGGGUAUAGACCCGAAACCCGGUGAUCUAGCCAUGGGCAGGUUGAAGGUUGGGUAACACUAACUGGAGGACCGAACCGACUAAUGUUGAAAAAUUAGCGGAUGACUUGUGGCUGGGGGUGAAAGGCCAAUCAAACCGGGAGAUAGCUGGUUCUCCCCGAAAGCUAUUUAGGUAGCGCCUCGUGAAUUCAUCUCCGGGGGUAGAGCACUGUUUCGGCAAGGGGGUCAUCCCGACUUACCAACCCGAUGCAAACUGCGAAUACCGGAGAAUGUUAUCACGGGAGACACACGGCGGGUGCUAACGUCCGUCGUGAAGAGGGAAACAACCCAGACCGCCAGCUAAGGUCCCAAAGUCAUGGUUAAGUGGGAAACGAUGUGGGAAGGCCCAGACAGCCAGGAUGUUGGCUUAGAAGCAGCCAUCAUUUAAAGAAAGCGUAAUAGCUCACUGGUCGAGUCGGCCUGCGCGGAAGAUGUAACGGGGCUAAACCAUGCACCGAAGCUGCGGCAGCGACGCUGAUGCGUUGUUGGGUAGGGGAGCGUUCUGUAAGCCUGCGAAGGUGUGCUGUGAGGCAUGCUGGAGGUAUCAGAAGUGCGAAUGCUGACAUAAGUAACGAUAAAGCGGGUGAAAAGCCCGCUCGCCGGAAGACCAAGGGUUCCUGUCCAACGUUAAUCGGGGCAGGGUGAGUCGACCCCUAAGGCGAGGCCGAAAGGCGUAGUCGAUGGGAAACAGGUUAAUAUUCCUGUACUUGGUGUUACUGCGAAGGGGGGACGGAGAAGGCUAUGUUGGCCGGGCGACGGUUGUCCCGGUUUAAGCGUGUAGGCUGGUUUUCCAGGCAAAUCCGGAAAAUCAAGGCUGAGGCGUGAUGACGAGGCACUACGGUGCUGAAGCAACAAAUGCCCUGCUUCCAGGAAAAGCCUCUAAGCAUCAGGUAACAUCAAAUCGUACCCCAAACCGACACAGGUGGUCAGGUAGAGAAUACCAAGGCGCUUGAGAGAACUCGGGUGAAGGAACUAGGCAAAAUGGUGCCGUAACUUCGGGAGAAGGCACGCUGAUAUGUAGGUGAAGUCCCUUGCGGAUGGAGCUGAAAUCAGUCGAAGAUACCAGCUGGCUGCAACUGUUUAUUAAAAACACAGCACUGUGCAAACACGAAAGUGGACGUAUACGGUGUGACGCCUGCCCGGUGCCGGAAGGUUAAUUGAUGGGGUCAGCGCAAGCGAAGCUCUUGAUCGAAGCCCCGGUAAACGGCGGCCGUAACUAUAACGGUCCUAAGGUAGCGAAAUUCCUUGUCGGGUAAGUUCCGACCUGCACGAAUGGCGUAAUGAUGGCCAGGCUGUCUCCACCCGAGACUCAGUGAAAUUGAACUCGCUGUGAAGAUGCAGUGUACCCGCGGCAAGACGGAAAGACCCCGUGAACCUUUACUAUAGCUUGACACUGAACAUUGAGCCUUGAUGUGUAGGAUAGGUGGGAGGCUUGGAAGUGUGGACGCCAGUCUGCAUGGAGCCGACCUUGAAAUACCACCCUUUAAUGUUUGAUGUUCUAACGUUGACCCGUAAUCCGGGUUGCGGACAGUGUCUGGUGGGUAGUUUGACUGGGGCGGUCUCCUCCUAAAGAGUAACGGAGGAGCACGAAGGUUGGCUAAUCCUGGUCGGACAUCAGGAGGUUAGUGCAAUGGCAUAAGCCAGCUUGACUGCGAGCGUGACGGCGCGAGCAGGUGCGAAAGCAGGUCAUAGUGAUCCGGUGGUUCUGAAUGGAAGGGCCAUCGCUCAACGGAUAAAAGGUACUCCGGGGAUAACAGGCUGAUACCGCCCAAGAGUUCAUAUCGACGGCGGUGUUUGGCACCUCGAUGUCGGCUCAUCACAUCCUGGGGCUGAAGUAGGUCCCAAGGGUAUGGCUGUUCGCCAUUUAAAGUGGUACGCGAGCUGGGUUUAGAACGUCGUGAGACAGUUCGGUCCCUAUCUGCCGUGGGCGCUGGAGAACUGAGGGGGCUGCUCCUAGUACGAGAGGACCGGAGUGGACGCAUCACUGGUGUUCGGGUUGUCAUGCCAAUGGCACUGCCCGGUAGCUAAAUGCGGAAGAGAUAAGUGCUGAAAGCAUCUAAGCACGAAACUUGCCCCGAGAUGAGUUCUCCCUGACCCUUUAAGGGUCCUGAAGGAACGUUGAAGACGACGACGUUGAUAGGCCGGGUGUGUAAGCGCAGCGAUGCGUUGAGCUAACCGGUACUAAUGAACCGUGAGGCUUAACCUUACAACGCCGAAGCUGUU